Long non-coding RNA from Arachis stenosperma, 751 nucleotides. RefSeq lists it as uncharacterized. The record is from RefSeq and is a predicted model, not a curated record. Lineage: Eukaryota; Viridiplantae; Streptophyta; Magnoliopsida; Fabales; Fabaceae. The transcript has 2 exons.
GUAAGUUAACCGUAGUGGCAGAGCCUGUCUUCUCCGGACAGAGAGAUCCCCGUUUGCCGAUAAAGUAAAACGACUAAAUCACCUUCAACAAAUCUAACAACAAAACGACACCGUAUCAAGGCUCCAAAUCCUAAUCUCUCUCUCUCGCUUCUCGCUCUCUCGCAAUGGUGAAGUCGCUUGAGCAUCCAUGGAUCCUCAACGCACUGCCUCUCUUAGUCGUUAUUCUCAUCGCAGCUCACGUCUUCGCCUUGAUUGGCCACUGAGAAUAAGCCCCGCCCCAUACAGCAGCAGCAGCAGCAGCUGCAGCAGCAACUCGGCGACAUCCAGAGACGAAAGGCUCACUGAGAAUCACCAAAACCUUGCUUGCAUUUGCCACCAUUCUGCAAUUUCGAACUUCUCAAGGCCUGAUUUGUAAAGUAUGUUUGUGUACGCUUGUUCUUUUUUUUUCUUUUUAAAUAUUUUUAUAUCUUUUACUUACAUAGUUCGUGUGAUGUUAUGUAUGGGGUAUUAUUACACUGCACUUACACCCCUGAGUUCUAAUUAAUUGCUGAUAUAUAGUUGCAAAAUUUCGAAAUAGUUAAAGGUUUCAAAAAUGACCAGCUCAUGUGAGAAAGGGACUGAGUUGUUAAUUUGUUAUCCUUUCUGUAAUUUUUUGUCUUUUUUUGCACUUAAAGAAGAUUGUAUGGAAUAGUUAAAAGUGUGUUGAUAAUUUGUGUUAAAUAUAGAAUUAAACUAGAAACUAUUCUUUCAA